UUACGGGAGGCAGCAGUAGGGAAUAUUGGACAAUGGGUGCAAGCCUGAUCCAGCCAUGCCGCGUGCAGGAAGAAAGCCUUCUGGGUUGUAAACUGCUUUUUUCAGGGGAUAAAAUACUCGUGCGCGAGGAAUUGAAAGUACCUGGAGAAUAAGCCACGGCUAACUACGUGCCAGCAGCCGCGGUAAUACGUAGGUGGCAAGCGUUGUCCGGAUUUAUUGGGUUUAAAGGGUGCGUAGGCGGUCAAUUAAGUCAGUGGUGAAAUACGGCAGCUUAACUGUCGAGGUGCCAUUGAUACUGGUUGACUUGAGUACUGAUGAGGUAGGCGGAAUGGACGGUGUAGCGGUGAAAUGCUUAGAGAUCGUCCAGAACACCGAUAGCGAAGGCAGCUUACUAAGGAGUAACUGACGCUGAGGCACGAAAGUGUGGGGAUCAAACAGGAUUAGAUACCCCGGUAGC
This 457-nucleotide ribosomal RNA is filed under the name uncultured bacterium. RNAcentral's name for it is "bacterial SSU rRNA". It matches the Rfam family "Bacterial small subunit ribosomal RNA", at positions 339 to 794 of the family's 1533-position model. The record is from RNAcentral.